Non-coding RNA from Trichonephila clavipes, 73 nucleotides. Lineage: Eukaryota; Metazoa; Arthropoda; Arachnida; Araneae; Nephilidae. The record is from the annotation of a GenBank genome assembly.
GUCCCAGUAGCGCAAUGGAUCGCGUAUUGAACCUCUAAUCCUAACAUCGUGGGUUCGAAUCCCACCUGGGAUG